CAACAGGGAUUGCCUCAGUAACGGCGAGUGAAGCGGCAACAGCUCAAAUUUGAAAGCUGGCUCCUUCGGGGCCCGCGUUGUAAUUUGUAGAGGAUGCUUCGGGCGCGGCACCGGUCUAAGUUCUCUGGAACGAGACGUCAUGGAGGGUGAGAAUCCCGUAUGAGACUGGCUGCCUGUGCCCAUGUGAAGCUCCUUCGACGAGUCGAGUUGUUUGGGAAUGCAGCUCAAAAUGGGAGGUGUACUCCUUCUAAAGCUAAAUAUUGGCCAGAGACCGAUAGCGCACAAGUAGAGUGAUCGAAAGAUGAAAAGCACUUUGGAAAGAGAGUUAAACAGUACGUGAAAUUGUUGAAAGGGAAGCGCUUGCAAUCAGACUUGCGCGGCGUCGAUCAGCCUGGGUUCUCCCUGGUGCACUCGGCGCCGCUCAGGCCAGCAUCAGUUUCGGCGGUGGGAUAAAGGCCUAGGGAACGUGGGUCCCUUCGGGGACCGUUAUAGCCCUAGGUGCAAUGCCGCCUGCCGGGACUGAGGACCGCGCUUCGGCUAGGAUGCUGGCGUAAUGGUUGUAAGCGACCCGUCUUGAAACACG
This 583-nucleotide ribosomal RNA is filed under the name Lophodermium sp. BLE32. Its description in RNAcentral is "LSU rRNA". It matches the Rfam family "Eukaryotic large subunit ribosomal RNA", at positions 66 to 663 of the family's 3401-position model. Lineage: Eukaryota; Fungi; Ascomycota; Leotiomycetes; Rhytismatales; Rhytismataceae. The record is from RNAcentral.